GACGAACGCUGGCGGCGUGCUUAACACAUGCAAGUCGAGCGGUAAGGCCCUUUCGGGGGUACACGAGCGGCGAACGGGUGAGUAACACGUGGGUGACCUGCCCUCAGCUCUGGGAUAAGCCUGGGAAACUGGGUCUAAUACCGGAUAUGACUCCAUGACGCAUGUUGUGGGGUGGAAAGCCUUGUGCGGCUGAGGAUGGGCCCGCGGCCUAUCAGCUUGUUGGUGGGGUGANGGCCUACCAAGGCGACGACGGAUAGGGGACCUGAGAGGGUCGGCCCCCACAUG
This 285-nucleotide ribosomal RNA is filed under the name uncultured bacterium. RNAcentral's name for it is "partial 16S ribosomal RNA". It matches the Rfam family "Bacterial small subunit ribosomal RNA", at positions 28 to 314 of the family's 1533-position model. The record is from RNAcentral.